GUGCCAGCAGCCGCGGUAAUACAGAGGGUGCGAGCGUUGUUCGGAAUUAUUGGGCGUAAAGCGCGCGUAGGCGGGAUGGCAAGUCGGGUGUGAAAGCCCUCAGCUCAACUGAGGAAGUGCGCCCGAAACUACUGUUCUUGAGUGUCGGAGAGGGUGGCGGAAUUCCCGGUGUAGAGGUGAAAUUCGUAGAUAUCGGGAGGAACACCAGAGGCGAAGGCGGCCACCUGGACGAACACUGACGCUGAGGCGCGAAAGCGUGGGGAGCAAACAGGAUUAGAUACCCCCGUAGUCC
Molecule: ribosomal RNA, 292 nt
Filed under: uncultured bacterium
Lineage: Bacteria
Description: partial 16S ribosomal RNA
Rfam family: Bacterial small subunit ribosomal RNA
Source: RNAcentral